AUGCAGUCCAGCAGUAAUCCUGGCCGGGGAAGAAGCACAUGCACAUCAGGUGGGAAAUAAAGAACAUUGGAACACACAGGCUUUGAACUUAGUAGCGGCGAGGGCUCUGUUUUCCAUGCUGGAAAGUGACCUCCAACCCAGCACAGAUGUACCGCCUAGAGGUGUGUGCACCAGCCACACAGGGGCAAGAUGCCCCCUUUCCACAGUGUGGACAGGAGAAAACAAAUGGCGAUCAGGGUCUGCGUUAGAGGCAGUUUACGGCUCCCCAAAUGUGGGGUGGCCCGGACGUUUCCCAGCUAUGAGGAAUUGGCUGGUCAGAAUGUUGUUGUCUUCUACUGGCAAUGCUUUGAGUGGCUCUUGAGGACUGGCGAGCUUGGCUGGAUAACUCCAAGGCCAGGAUGAAAGCCUGGGGGAACCAAGGAGGGAUGGCGCUACCUUGACGUCCCUGUAGAUGCUAGGGGCUGUCUCUUGCAGAAGAUUUCAAAGAUUUCCUCCUCCCCGUUUACACCAGCAUCAAUGAAAGACCCCAACAGUGAAGCGGACUCGCCUACCACUUUUCAUCUCUGGCGUCACAAGUUGUCAGUCUCUCUGGGCUCCUGAACAUGAAGUGGCUGAUCCAAAGCUCACUCAACGGGCGUCUGUCCAUUGAUUCUUCAGCUGGCUUGGGAGCAGAUCUGAGAUUCUCACAUGUCUGAAAGAGAAGCGGGCCAGCAAGCCUGGCACGUCCCCAUUCUCUUGUGCAGAACAAUCCAAACUACUUCUCGUCAGCGUUUGGCUUUGGAGAAAAGCUUUUCUUGCCUUUAUGGUUUAAUUGAUGGAGGAGUCAGGCAGGGAACAGAAAUGCCCUGAAACAAAGCAGG
Non-coding RNA from Pelodiscus sinensis (Chinese soft-shelled turtle), 860 nucleotides. The record is from RefSeq and is a predicted model, not a curated record. Lineage: Eukaryota; Metazoa; Chordata; Testudines; Trionychidae.